Molecule: ribosomal RNA, 993 nt
Filed under: Triticum aestivum (bread wheat)
Lineage: Eukaryota; Viridiplantae; Streptophyta; Magnoliopsida; Poales; Poaceae
Description: partial small subunit ribosomal RNA
Source: RNAcentral
AUGGCGGCUGCUGGUGCUGAGAAGCUGCACGUUCUGGUGGCGUGUGCCUUGCUGCUGCUCGCCGUGGGGUGCCAGGCCAGCCCUCUGCAGAUCGGGUUCUACCACGACAGGUGCCCCCAGGCGGAGGCGGUCGUCAAGGGCGUCAUGAUGGAGGCCAUCUCCCAGAAUCCCGGCAAUGGCGCUGCCAUGAUCCGCAUGCUCUUCCACGACUGCUUCGUCGAGGGGUGUGACGCUUCGGUCCUCCUAGACCCGACCCCGUUCAGCCCGACGCCGGAGAAGCUCAGCGCGCCCAACAAUCCCUCCCUACGUGGCUUCGAGCUGAUCGACGCCAUCAAGGACGCCCUCGAGGCGGCCUGCCCGGGCAUCGUCUCCUGCGCCGACAUCGUCGCUUUCUCAGCCCGUGACGCGUCUUGCAUCCUCAGCGGGGGCAAGGUGGACUUUGAGGUGCCGUCCGGCCGCCGCGACGGCACCUUCUCCAACGCCUCCGAGCCGGUCAAGUUCCUCGUCCCACCCACGUCCAACCUCAGCGACCUCGUGGACAGCUUCGUUGUCAAGGGCCUCGAUGUGGAGGACCUAGUCAUCCUCUCCGGCGCGCACACCAUCGGGCGCUCCCACUGCUCCGCCUUCGUGCCCGACCGCCUCAACGUCACCUCCGACAUCGACGGCGGCCUCGCCGCGUUCCUGCGUGACCAGUGCUCCGCGGACGCCGCCCCGGGUGGCAACGACCCGACGGUGAUGCAGGACGUGGUGACCCCGAACGACCUGGACAAGCAGUACUACAACAACGUGCUGUCGCGCACGGUGCUCUUCACCUCCGACGCGGCGCUCCUGACGUCGGAGGAGACUGCGAGGAUGGUGAUGGACAACGCCAACAUGCCCGGGUGGUGGGAGGACAGGUUCGAGAAGGCCAUGGUGAAGAUGGCCGGCAUCGAGGUCAAGACCGGCGACCAGGGACAGAUCAGGAAGAACUGCCGCGCAAUCAACUACUACUAA